RNAcentral lists this long non-coding RNA (671 nucleotides) under Parus major (Great Tit). RNAcentral's name for it is "lncRNA (ENSPMJG00000013938.1)". Lineage: Eukaryota; Metazoa; Chordata; Aves; Passeriformes; Paridae. The record is from RNAcentral.
CCAGAUCCCAGGCUGAUCCAUCAUCCUCCAGAGAGCAGUGAGACCACCCCAAGAGCUGAGGGACAGCGUGCACCCUCUUCCUGCAGCACAUCUGAGUGGGCUGGUGGCCUCCUGCCUGCUGCAGAGCUGCUUCUGUCAGGAAAACCAGGUGUUUUCAGUGGGAAGCAGAGCCUGGGAAGCUCCUUUGCUUUCUCCCGUGUGUGGGCAGAGGUGGAUGAAGGCUGGGAAGGCUUUGUCUCCAAUUCCAGACUGAGAAGCUGAGCAGGGGAUGAAGGAGAAGAUGAUGAGGGAUGUGUAAACUACUCUGCAAGAUCAUCCCAGGAAAGGAACUAAAGGAGCCAGAAAUUAGAAGGAACCUCACCUACUGGGAAUGCUCCUGCCUUUCCAAAUCUCCUUCUCUGUGCCAUCCCUGGAAGAAACUUGUGAGUAAAUCUGGUUUUAUGUUUCUUUCUUUCAUUUCUGGAAGGCAGAAGUCUUGGAGAAACGUCUUCCUUUGUUCCUUGAAGGGCUGUGGUAGAGAGCAUGAAUUGUGGUGUGUCCUGAGGCUGGGAGUGCCAGAAGGGGGCACCUUCAGAAGACAGAAAUCACAAAAUCCCGGGUUCCCUCCUGCUGAAUCCAGAGAUGCUGUGUGGGGUGGGACUGUGGGGUUGUUGUUCAACAGGGCUGGUUAA